This 396-nucleotide ribosomal RNA is filed under the name uncultured bacterium. RNAcentral's name for it is "partial 16S ribosomal RNA". It matches the Rfam family "Bacterial small subunit ribosomal RNA", at positions 523 to 918 of the family's 1533-position model. The record is from RNAcentral.
AUACAGAGGGUGCAAGCGUUAGUCGGAUUUACUGGGCGUAAAGCGCGCGUAGGUGGCUAAUUAAGUCAAAUGUGAAAUCCCCGAGCUUAACUUGGGAAUUGCAUUCGAUACUGGUUAGCUAGAGUAUGGGAGAGGAUGGUAGAAUUCCAGGUGUAGCGGUGAAAUGCGUAGAGAUCUGGAGGAAUACCGAUGGCGAAGGCAGCCACCUGGCCUAAUACUGACUCUGAGGUGCCAAAGCAUGGGGCGCAAACAGGAUUUGAUGCCCUGGUAUUCCAUGCCGUAAACGAUGUCUACUAGCCGUUGGGGCCCUUGAGGCUUUAGUGGCGCAGCUAACGCGAUAAGUAGACCGCCUGGGGAGUACGGUCGCAAGACUAAAACUCAAAUGAAUUGACGGGG